RNAcentral lists this ribosomal RNA (388 nucleotides) under Phrynopus montium. RNAcentral's name for it is "12S ribosomal RNA". It matches the Rfam family "Bacterial small subunit ribosomal RNA", at positions 789 to 1391 of the family's 1533-position model. The record is from RNAcentral. Lineage: Eukaryota; Metazoa; Chordata; Amphibia; Anura; Strabomantidae.
ACUAUGCCAAGUAGUAAACUUUAAUUUACACCUCAUCGCCAGGGAACUACAAGCCAAGCUUAAAACCCAAAGGACUUGACGGUGCCCCAUAUCCCCCUAGAGGAGCCUGUCCUAUAAUUGAUACCCCCCGCUAAACCUCACCAUUCUUAGCCUGUUCAGCCUGUAUACUUCCGUCGUCAGCUAACCACAUGAGUGAAAUUCAGUGAGCCCAAUGGCCCCCCCAAAAACGUCAGGUCAAAGUGCAGCAAAUAGAAUGGGAAGAGAUGGGCUACACUUUCUAAUUUAGAAGAUACGAAAGACUAUGUGAAACCUUAGUCAGAAGGUGGAUUUAGAAGUAAAAAGAAAUCAAAGAGUUCUCUUUAAUCUGGUACUGGGGUGUGUACACACC